GAUGAAGAACGUAGCGAAAUGCGAUAAGUAGUGUGAAUUGCAGAAUUCAGUGAAUCAUCGAAUCUUUGAACGCACAUUGCGCCCUUUGGUAUUCCAAAGGGCAUGCCUGUUCGAGCGUCAUUUGUACCCUCAAGCUUUGCUUGGUGUUGGGCGUCUUGUCUCUAGCUUUGCUGGAGACUCGCCUUAAAGUAAUUGGCAGCCGGCCUACUGGUUUCGGAGCGCAGCACAAGUCGCACUCUCUAUCAGCAAAGGUCUAGCAUCCAUUAAGCCUUUUUUUUCAACUUUUGACCUCGGAUCAGGUAGGGAUACCCGCUGAACUUAAGCAUAUCAAUAAGCGGAGA
RNAcentral lists this unclassified non-coding RNA (341 nucleotides) under soil metagenome. RNAcentral's name for it is "partial contains 5.8S ribosomal RNA, internal transcribed spacer 2, and large subunit ribosomal RNA". The stretch from base 1 to 120 matches the Rfam family "5.8S ribosomal RNA", at positions 35 to 154 of the family's 154-position model. The record is from RNAcentral.